Long non-coding RNA from Alexandromys fortis (reed vole), 6162 nucleotides. RefSeq lists it as uncharacterized. The transcript is spliced from 3 exons. The record is from RefSeq and is a predicted model, not a curated record. Lineage: Eukaryota; Metazoa; Chordata; Mammalia; Rodentia; Cricetidae.
UAUAAAAAUUAAGUGCCUUCAAUGGACCAUUUCAAAAAUAGUGGUGAUUGUUGUUUGGUUUUAAAUGUUUUUUCUCCUAAAGAGACAUUUUCCCCCAGGAAAGGAUUGGAUGUAUUAUAAGUUAUCUUUUUUGCCUAAAUAAAAUUUCUCCAUACCCGGCCCCUCAUUGCCCCAAAUUCUGGGAUUAAUGGAUAUGGGCCACCACAUUUGGUUCAUGUGGUGCUGAAGAUUAAAGCCGGAACUUCAUGCUUGUUGGGCAAGUGCCCUACCAACUAAGCCACAUGCCCAGCCUCUGUUUUAGUUUGAGACAGCUUUCCUAUGUAGCUCAGGCUAGCUGCGAACUCACAGCACUUCUCCUGUCUUGGUCUUCUAAAUGCAGGGAUUACAGGCAUGAACCACACUACCAAAAAACAAACAAACAAACAAACAAAAACAAAACAAAGAAAUGACUUUAGAAUAAACUUUAUGAUGGUCUCCUCAUACUUAAUUUCUAAUUACCCAAUUUACUUUCACACACAUUAACCUUCAAAAUGGUUAUUAUGACCUAGUUAUGAAAGCUUUGUGUGAUGGGGCAGGAGUGGAGCACAUGUGCUUAGCUGAGGUAAGAUCUGGGUUUAAACCCCAGUGUGCACACACACCCACACACCAAAUCUAUAGUUUUUGUCAGCUUGACACAGGCUAGAAUCAUUUGGAAAGAAGGACCCUGGUUAAGGAAAUGUGGUCACGAGAGUGGCCUGUAGGCACUUGAUUAAUGAUUGAUAGGAGAGGGCCCAGCCCAGAGGCUGUGCUACCCCUGGGCAAGUGCAGGACUCCUCUAUGGCCUCUGCUUCAUUCAGUUUUUGCCUCCAGGUUCUGCCUUGGGUUCCUCCCCUGAUUGUCCUCCACGAAGGAGUGGGACCUAAAGACUUGUGUGCUGGAACAAACCCUUCCCAUUUUUGGACUGGGUGUAUUAUCACAGCAACAGAAACAAAGGACUAAACUCAGACUCUGCGUCUAGGAAGACUGAAUUUGUGACUGUCCCCUGGACAGUGUCUGCUCUUAUCAUUGGAGUCUGUUUCUCUGAGCACUCAGGAGAAAGGCUGGAGAUAAAUUCCAGAUACCACUAUCUACUAUCAUCCUCAAUCCCUAAGGGAAUCUUUCUCCAACUCAGUCACCUUUCCAGGCCUGCCAGUUCCCGGUUACCCUUGUUCCAGUCUAGAUGGAGAGGCAAACUCCUAAAAAGCUGCAAUUUUAAAAGCAGCUGGAGAGGGGACUCAUGGGAGUGGCUCAACUUCCAGAAUCCAAGGUUAAUAGGCUGUGAAUGCCACUUUCUGUGUACAUUGUCCCUGCUUCAGCAGUUCCUUUAAACUGCCAUCAUUCAGUUUGGGGAGAAGAGGAAAGUGGGAAUUGCUCCAGCUGCAAGGAGGCAGGGAACAAUGCUCUCUCCUCCCCUUGCUCCCACCCCUCCGAUGCUGAAGGUUUCUCCCACAGAGGCAGGCCCUAGUUAUAAGCAGGAGGUAUCAGAAAGCCUAUCCAAUGUGAUUUCAAAAUUAUUUCCAAGUCAUUAGGGCCAAUUACUUACCUUUGGGCCCUAUAAUAUAGUUUGUUCUCUGCUAAACCGAUCGUUUCUCCUGUCACAAAUAUGAUAAUUCACCAGGGUGCCUCUCAAUCAUAUAGCAGAAAGAAUAGGAAUGAAUGAACAAACUGCCAUGAGGAGUACUCUCAUGUUAGCAUUAUUUGGCAGUACUAGGGAUGCAACCCAGAUCCUGGAACGUGAUGGGCAAACCACUUUACCACUGAGCUCCAUCUCUAGUCUAGGCAAUUGUUUUAAUUAGAAAAUGACUCAGGCUGGGUAGUGGUGAUUAUAAUGGUCUGUCCUAUCCCUUUAAGAGACAAGCCACACCCACUCCCUCCCAACCCUGUCCACUGAGACAAGCUGAUCUUCAGCUUCUAGCCUGAGUCCCUUACCUUUCUCUCUCUCUCUCUCUCUCUCUCUCUCUCUCUCUCUCUCUCUCUCUCUCUCAGAGGCAGCUUCUGUCUCUCCCUUCUCCCUACUUCUCUCCUUCACCUUUCUCUGUUUUUUCUCUCUGCUCUUCCCCCUUCUCUCCUUCCCUUCCAUAACCCACUAAAUAAAUAUCCAAUUUCACUCUGCAUGGUGUGCCUCUCUCUUCCUCUCUCUCACCCACCCACCAUGUGGCUCCCUGCUCGGGACCAGCUGCCUUUAGAGACCUUUAGCAUGGUCUUGUGGAGUGUAUAUCCAUCUCAGUCUCUCACCCACCAUGUGGCUCCCUGCCUGGGACUGGCUGCCUUUGUGAUCUCCCCGCUCGGAGACCUGCAACAUUUUUCUUAAACCAUUACAGUAUUCAGGCCUUUAAUCUCAGCACGUGCAGAUCUCUGUAAACUCGAGGCCAGCUUAGUCUACACAGCAAGUCCCAGGACAUCCAAAGCAACGCAGAGAAACCCUGUCUUGGAAAAAAAAAAAGGGGGGGGGUGCUAAGAGCAUGUGCUGGGGCUUGCAGAGGACCUGAACUCAGUUCUCACAGCCCUGUCAGUUUCACAACCACUUAUAUCUCCAGCUCCAGAAGAUCUGGGCAUCCGUGGCCUCUGACCUCUGUGGUGACCAGGUACACAGACACACAGACAUAUACAUAAUGAGAAAAAUAAUUAAGCCAGACAUGGUUGCGCAGGCCUUUAAUUCCAGUACUUGAAAGGCAGAGGAAGGUGAAUCUUCGAGUCCGAGGCCAGCCUGGUUUACAGAGAAACCCUGUCUCAAAAAAAAAAAAAAAAAAUCUUCAAAGGCUAAAAAAGAAUUCACUAAGACUGGAGACAGUGUUAGUGUUGAAACAGCAGUCUGCUCAGGGUUCUUAGGAUUUUCAAAACUUAUGAUGAAAUACCCUCUGCCCUACAGAAGAGUGCAGACAAACUGAAAAGGGAACGAUGGACCUGCAAGCAAAAAUUCGUAACAGAAAACUAUCCUUAUCAGUACCCCCCAAAAGAAUCCACAAUAGUGUGUGUGGUCCAGGCAUUUCCACAUGGGCUUUUCCAGAUGGCCAGCAGAGCCCAAUGCAGAUUCAUAAGGAAAUUCUUGGACUUUAAUCUCAACUUUCCAAAUGACUAUUUAUUUAUCUAGGCAGGGUCUCCUUACGUUGCCUCCUCCUGCCUUGGUCUCCAAACACUUUAACUACAAGUGAACAAACCUUGCAAAGCUUAAGCAACUUCUGCUAGAAGCUCCUUUUCAAGAUCAAUUUUUUUUUCCCUUUGGUCUUUUUCUGACCGGUUCCUCUUUGCAUCCCAGGCUAACUUGGGUUAGGCUAGUCUCAGACAUGUCUUUCUGUCUAAUUAGAGGCAUGUGCCAUCAUGGCUUCUCUCUUUCUCCCUCUCCUCUUCCUCCCUCCAGUCCCAUUUUUCUCCUUUCCACUUCCUUCCCUACCCAUCCUUUCCUUUCUUGAGUUUCUUGUGACCCAAGCCAGCCUCUAACUAGCUACAUGGGAGGGGGUGUGGGGGGUGGAGGCUGGGGAAGGUGUUAAUGACCUUGAAUUUCUGAUUCUCCAGACUCCAGCAGCCCACAACACCACACAGGCUUCCCCAUUUUAGGUUCAGCUCCCCAAAUUCCCUAGUUAAUUUCCAUGUAAAUAACUCUUGAGUUCUGGCGCUAGGGGAUGUUACCCUAGGGCCUCAAAAAGUGGAGGCAGGGCAAUGCUCUACCUAAGCCUGUGUCUCCAGUGCACUUCCCAGCUCUUCACUGGGUAAAAGACAGUAUUUCUUCCUGUCCCUGUUUUUUUUAUAUUUUUUCCAUGAUUCGUUAAGAUAUUGGGGCCCUUAAUCGCAUGGUGCUUGCCUUUAAUCGCAGCACCCAGGAGACAGAGGUAGACACGUCUUUGUGAGUUCAAGGCCAGCCUGGUGUACAUAGGGAGUUCCAGGCCAGCCAGGGCUACACAGUAAGAACAUGUAAAAGAAUAAAAAAAAAAUCUAUCAAUAAAAUUAGUUAAUUUUAAAAUGCUAUGGCUGGGAGUAUGGAGUAUGACUUAGUCCUACAGUGACGCCUACCCAGCAUACCCUGAUGAUGCCCUGGUGCUAUUCCCAGACCACCACACAGGACUCUUGUUAGAUAGAUACCUAGGUAGGUAGGUAGGUAGGUAGAUAGAUAGAUAGAUAGAUAGAUAGAUGCAGAAAUGAGCGUGACAGAGCCAGCACAGCUUUUUUUAGAAUAGCCCUCUGACAGGAGGGAAGUUUUUUUGUGCUAUGGUCUCCACCUCCUUGGCUCAAGUAAUCUUGUCUUAACAAGGAGUUGGAACUAUUAGCUUGAGCCACCUGCCACCACACUCAGUAUCACAAAGCUUCUGAGUAGAAGAACCAGCAAGACUAGGUGACAAUGGCCAUGUGAGACAAGGUUUGGGAGGGGAACAGGGAUGAAAAAAAUGAUGGUUUCUGUUUUGGAGCUACCUGAUGUGGGAGUGAUUUCUUAUUAAUAAAGAAACUGGCUAAGCCCCUUGAUAGGCCAACCCUUAGGUGGGUGGAGUAAACAGAACAGAAUGCUGGGAAAAAGAAGCUGAGUCUAGGAGUCGCCAUGAUUCUCCCACUCCAGACAGACGCAGGUUAAGAUCUUUCCUGAUAAGCCACCACAUGGGCUACACAGAUUAUUAGAAAUGGGUUAAAUUAAUAUGUAAGAGCUAGCCAAUAAGAGGCUGAAACCUAUGGGCCAGGCAGUGUUUAAAAGAAUACAGUUCCGUGUAAUUAUUUCGGGGCAUAAGCUAGAGCCAUGCGGGCGGCCGGGUGCUGAGGACGCAGCCUCGCCACUCCUUCUACAUCUACCCUUUAUGUUUGUCUGUUUCUGUUUGAUGUGAGAUGUUUGGUUUCUGUAACUUUGCCUUCUUCCCUUAAAGCGUUUCAGUCAGACGGUGGUGGUACACGCCUUUAAUCCCAGCACUUGGGGGACAGAGGCAGGUGGAUCUCUGUUGAGUUUGAGGCCAGCCUGGUCUACGGAGUGAGUUCCAGGACAGGCCCCCAAAGCUACAGAAAAACCCUGUCUCGUCUUAACAAAACAACAAGUAAACAAACAAAAAGUCAGUUUCAGUAGAGAAAGAAAGAGCGGAGGGAGGGAGGGAGGGAGGGGGAGAGAGAGAGAGAGAGAGAGAGAGAGAGAGAGAGAGAGAGAGAGAGAGAGAGGCCUUCCUGAUGGGCCUGUCCAACGAGAAUUCUGGACUAGGCCAACUUGGCUUCCUCAGAAAAACACCCGAGCAAACGCUUGAUGUCUCAGAACAGCUUCUUUCUGCAGUCUCCUACUCGAUCACUAGAGUCUUUUUUUUUUUUUUUUUUUUUUUUUUUGGUUUUUCGAGACAGGGUUUCUCUGUGGCUUUGGAGCCUGUCCUGGCACUAGCUCUGUAGACAAGGCUGGUCUCAAACUCACAGAGAUCCGCCUGCCUCUGCCUCCCGAGUGCUGGGAUUAAAGGCGCGCGCCACCAUCGUCCCGGGAUCACUAGAGUCUUAAAGUCCCACUCCAGUGUACCCGUCCAGCAGGUCCAGUUAUUCCAGGGUCUGAAGAGGCACUACCUGAAAGAACAUGGGCAGGAGAGAGAAACGAGACCAAGCAAAAUUCACUUGUCAAGGCCUCUCUUUAUUAGCGAUGGUUGCGACUUAUAUAGCCCUUGAAAGAGGAAUUUGGCUUGGGGUGGGGGGGUAGAAGGAAUUUUGCUUGGGUAGCAAAGGUCACUAGUUAGCACACCUGGUAAGCAUGGCUCCAUUAACAAACAGCUCUCAAGGUAGUUGGGAUGUGGGAGCUCUCUGCAAACAUUCUUAGGACAAUGGUCCCUGCUAUCAAGAUAGUUGGGAUGUGAGGCAGGUUCCCUUAGCAAACAGCUCUCAAGGUAGUGGGGCUUUCUGCAAACAUCCUUAGUACAAUGGUCCCUGCUAUCAUCUUUGGGACAAGGGUCCCUGACACUCCAGGGGCUGCUGAGAUGGCACAGCAGGCAGGAGUGCUUGCCGCCAGUCCUGACUGAUUAAGUUCAGUCCCCGGGAUCCACACGUCCACAUGGUAGAAGGACAAGAUGACAAGACGCGGGGUGAAAGCAUGCCCAUGAGGAAGGAUGGCAUAUCCAUGAAGUCUGGUGAGGCGUGGGAAAGGAAGAAAGAAAGACGGAUGGAUGGAUGGAUGGCUCAUCAGGUAAAGACGCUUUGGUACCUGGG